ACUCAAAGGAAUAGACGGGGGCCCGCACAAGCGGUGGAGUAUGUGGCUUAAUUCGAUGCAACGCGAAGAACCUUACCAGGACUUGACAUACACUUGAACGGGGCUGAAAAGUCUUUUUCCUUCGGGACAAGUGUACAGGUGCUGCAUGGCUGUCGUCAGCUCGUGUCGUGAGAUGUUCGGUUAAGUCCGGCAACGAGCGCAACCCCUGCCCCUAGUUGCCAUCAUUUAGUUGGGGACUCUAGGGGGACAAACUCUCUUUGAGAGUGGGAAGGUGGGGACGACGUCAAGUCAGUAUGGCCCUUACGUCCUGGGCUGCACACGUACUACAAUGCUUGGUACAGAGGGAAGCAAGACCGCGAGGUGGAGCCAAUCCUGAAAGCCAAGCUCAGUUCAGAUUGCAGUCUGCAACUCGACUGCAUGAAGAUGGAAUCGCUAGUAAUGGCGCAUCAGCUACGGCGCCGUGAAUACGUUCCCGGGCCUUGUACACACCGCCCGU
Molecule: ribosomal RNA, 496 nt
Filed under: uncultured bacterium
Lineage: Bacteria
Description: partial 16S ribosomal RNA
Rfam family: Bacterial small subunit ribosomal RNA
Source: RNAcentral